GGCCUCCCUCUGUGGGGUGAUCGAUCAUAGGGACCCCAGAUUGAAAACCCCGCAGAGGGAGGCC
RNAcentral lists this microRNA precursor (64 nucleotides) under Myotis davidii. RNAcentral's name for it is "mir-9242 microRNA precursor family". It matches the Rfam family "mir-9242 microRNA precursor family". The record is from Rfam by way of RNAcentral. Lineage: Eukaryota; Metazoa; Chordata; Mammalia; Chiroptera; Vespertilionidae.